UAGGUGAAGAUUCCAUCUGCCCAACUGACUUCCUUCUCUCCUGAAGAAGUUGAGAUGAAGGUUUGAAGAGAUUUUCCCUGUGAUCAAACUGAGGAAGGAGUUUUUCCUGUAUCUGGCUGCUGGCAGCAUCAGUCUUACUUGGACAUCUAACAACAAAAGAUCCUGGCUCUAUUUGAUUUUGGACUCCUGCUGUGAGAUUGAGAUACCUUGGGAAUGAUCCUUCAAUGUCCCCUGAACUGGUCUGCCUCCACUACAGACUUCCUUUGUGCAUACUUGGUCCAUCUGCUCUUCCCAUCUUCAUUUUUUAGAGUUAUUUCUACUUCCUUAUGGAGUGCAUCAAGAAAGGAAAGAAAAUGGCUCCACUGUCACACACACAAAUAUAGGGAUUUUGUUAUAUAUACAUAUUCUGGAUAUAUUUGAAUAUAGAUAUAUAUCUUGGCAUAUUUAUAGAGUCAAGAUAAAAGAGGCAGGAAAUUACAUGAACUUUCUCAACAUCCCCCUCCAAACAACUUUAAAAUAAUUCUCAAAUCAAAUUCUGGAGUGGCAGAGCCAACAGAAUGUUGGGGUAAAAUAAUUUGCUCGCCUAAGACAACUUGGGAAGUUGUAGAAAAGUUCUAUCACACAGGGUGAUAGUCUGGCCCAGAGUACAAUGCAGGCUACACAGGACAACACCACAGGCUUUGGGGGGCAGCUGCAAAAGAGGCAACAGAAGUUUCAGAAGCUCUCAGCCCUUAGAUAGUAAACAUAGAAAAAGAACAAAUUAAACACCACCCAAUUAGAAACCCUGAAAAUCAAAGGAGAGAUAAGUAAAAUAAAAUAAGAAAACUGGUUUUAUUUUUUAAAACUACAACAAUAAAAUAGAUAAACAAUU
This is a long non-coding RNA of Monodelphis domestica (gray short-tailed opossum), 871 nucleotides long. RefSeq lists it as uncharacterized. Lineage: Eukaryota; Metazoa; Chordata; Mammalia; Didelphimorphia; Didelphidae. The record is from RefSeq and is a predicted model, not a curated record.